RNAcentral lists this ribosomal RNA (199 nucleotides) under Schistosoma mansoni. RNAcentral's name for it is "partial ribosomal RNA". Lineage: Eukaryota; Metazoa; Platyhelminthes; Trematoda; Strigeidida; Schistosomatidae. The record is from RNAcentral.
CGCCACAGCCUAGUCUGGUCUAGAUGACUUGAUUGAGAUGCUGCGGUGGGUUGUGCUCGAGUCGUGGCUUAAUGACAUUAUACACGCUCGGGAUAAUUCGCACCUAUCGUAUGCUACGUUAAUCACUUGAUCUUGUCUCUGGUUUGGUCUAUGGUUUGUACCGAUUGUGUGUGUAUUAUGCACGAAUUAUUUAAUUGAC